GAUGAAGAACGCAGCGAAAUGCGAUAAGUAAUGUGAAUUGCAGAAUUCAGUGAAUCAUCGAAUCUUUGAACGCACAUUGCGCCCCAUGGUAUUCCGAGGGGCAUGCCUGUUCGAGCGUCAUUAUAACCCCUCAAGCUCAGCUUGGUGUUGGGGCCUGCUGCACUGGCAGCCCUUAAAAUCAGUGGCGGCGCCAUCUGGCUCUAAGCGUAGUAAUUCUUCUCGCUAUGGAGUCCUGGUGGAUGCUUGCCAUCAACCCCCAAUUUUUCUAUGGUUGACCUCGGAUCAGGUAGGGAUACCCGCUGAACUUAAGCAUAUCAAUAAGCGGAGGA
This 329-nucleotide unclassified non-coding RNA is filed under the name soil metagenome. RNAcentral describes it as "partial contains 5.8S ribosomal RNA, internal transcribed spacer 2, and large subunit ribosomal RNA". The stretch from base 1 to 120 matches the Rfam family "5.8S ribosomal RNA", at positions 35 to 154 of the family's 154-position model. The record is from RNAcentral.